GGGUUGUGAGGUUAAGCGACUAAGCGUACACGGUGGAUGCCCUGGCAGUCAGAGGCGAUGAAGGACGUGCUAAUCUGCGAAAAGCGUCGGUAAGGUGAUAUGAACCGUUAUAGCCGGCGAUGUCCGAAUGGGGAAACCCAGUGUGAUUCGUCACACUAUCGUUAACUGAAUACAUAGGUUAACGAGGCGAACCGGGGGAACUGAAACAUCUAAGUACCCCGAGGAAAAGAAAUCAACCGAGAUUCCCCCAGUAGCGGCGAGCGAACGGGGAGCAGCCCAGAGUCUGAAUCAGCUUGUGUGUUAGUGGAACGGUCUGGAAAGUCCGACGGUACAGGGUGAUAGUCCCGUACACCAAAAUGCACAGGUUGUGAACUCGAAGAGUAGGGCGGGACACGUGGUAUCCUGUCUGAAUAUGGGGGGACCAUCCUCCAAGGCUAAAUACUCCUGACUGACCGAUAGUGAACCAGUACCGUGAGGGAAAGGCGAAAAGAACCCCGGCGAGGGGAGUGAAAAAGAACCUGAAACCGUGUACGUACAAGCAGUGGGAGCACCUUCGGGUGUGACUGCGUACCUUUUGUAUAAUGGGUCAGCGACUUAUAUUCUGUAGCAAGGUUAACCGUAUAGGGGAGCCGCAGGGAAACCGAGUCUUAACUGGGCGUUAAGUUGCAGGGUAUAGACCCGAAACCCGGUGAUCUAGCCAUGGGCAGGUUGAAGGUUGGGUAACACUAACUGGAGGACCGAACCGACUAAUGUUGAAAAAUUAGCGGAUGACUUGUGGCUGGGGGUGAAAGGCCAAUCAAACCGGGAGAUAGCUGGUUCUCCCCGAAAGCUAUUUAGGUAGCGCCUCGUGAACUCAUCUUCGGGGGUAGAGCACUGUUUCGGCUAGGGGGUCAUCCCGACUUACCAACCCGAUGCAAACUACGAAUACCGAAGAAUGUUAUCACGGGAGACACACGGCGGGUGCUAACGUCCGUCGUGAAGAGGGAAACAACCCAGACCGCCAGCUAAGGUCCCAAAGUCAUGGUUAAGUGGGAAACGAUGUGGGAAGGCACAGACAGCCAGGAUGUUGGCUUAGAAGCAGCCAUCAUUUAAAGAAAGCGUAAUAGCUCACUGGUCGAGUCGGCCUGCGCGGAAGAUGUAACGGGGCUAAACCAUGCACCGAAGCUGCGGCAGCGACACUAUGUGUUGUUGGGUAGGGGAGCGUUCUGUAAGCCUGCGAAGGUGGCCUGUGAGGGUUGCUGGAGGUAUCAGAAGUGCGAAUGCUGACAUAAGUAACGAUAAAGCGGGUGAAAAGCCCGCUCGCCGGAAGACCAAGGGUUCCUGUCCAACGUUAAUCGGGGCAGGGUGAGUCGACCCCUAAGGCGAGGCCGAAAGGCGUAGUCGAUGGGAAACAGGUUAAUAUUCCUGUACUUGGUGUUACUGCGAAGGGGGGACGGAGAAGGCUAUGUUAGCCGGGCGACGGUUGUCCCGGUUUAAGCAUGUAGGCUGGUUGUCCAGGCAAAUCCGGAUAAUCAAGGCUGAGGUGUGAUGACGAGGCACUACGGUGCUGAAGUAACAAAUGCCCUGCUUCCAGGAAAAGCCUCUAAGCAUCAGGUAACAUCAAAUCGUACCCCAAACCGACACAGGUGGUCAGGUAGAGAAUACCAAGGCGCUUGAGAGAACUCGGGUGAAGGAACUAGGCAAAAUGGUGCCGUAACUUCGGGAGAAGGCACGCUGGUGUGUAGGUGAAGCCCCUGCGGGUGGAGCUGAGACCAGUCGAAGAUACCAGCUGGCUGCAACUGUUUAUUAAAAACACAGCACUGUGCAAACACGAAAGUGGACGUAUACGGUGUGACGCCUGCCCGGUGCCGGAAGGUUAAUUGAUGGGGUUAUCCGUAAGGAGAAGCUCUUGAUCGAAGCCCCGGUAAACGGCGGCCGUAACUAUAACGGUCCUAAGGUAGCGAAAUUCCUUGUCGGGUAAGUUCCGACCUGCACGAAUGGCGUAAUGAUGGCCAGGCUGUCUCCACCCGAGACUCAGUGAAAUUGAACUCGCUGUGAAGAUGCAGUGUACCCGCGGCAAGACGGAAAGACCCCGUGAACCUUUACUAUAGCUUGACACUGAACAUUGAGCCUUGAUGUGUAGGAUAGGUGGGAGGCUUUGAAGCGUGGACGCCAGUCUGCGUGGAGCCAACCUUGAAAUACCACCCUUUAAUGUUUGAUGUUCUAACGUUGGCCCCUGACCGGGGUUGCGGACAGUGUCUGGUGGGUAGUUUGACUGGGGCGGUCUCCUCCCAAAGCGUAACGGAGGAGCACGAAGGUUAGCUAAUCCUGGUCGGACAUCAGGAGGUUAGUGCAAUGGCAUAAGCUAGCUUGACUGCGAGCGUGACGGCGCGAGCAGGUGCGAAAGCAGGUCAUAGUGAUCCGGUGGUUCUGAAUGGAAGGGCCAUCGCUCAACGGAUAAAAGGUACUCCGGGGAUAACAGGCUGAUACCGCCCAAGAGUUCAUAUCGACGGCGGUGUUUGGCACCUCGAUGUCGGCUCAUCACAUCCUGGGGCUGAAGUAGGUCCCAAGGGUAUGGCUGUUCGCCAUUUAAAGUGGUACGCGAGCUGGGUUUAGAACGUCGUGAGACAGUUCGGUCCCUAUCUGCCGUGGGCGCUGGAGAAUUGAGGGGGGCUGCUCCUAGUACGAGAGGACCGGAGUGGACGCAUCACUGGUGUUCGGGUUGUCAUGCCAAUGGCACUGCCCGGUAGCUAAAUGCGGAAGAGAUAAGUGCUGAAAGCAUCUAAGCACGAAACUUGCCCCGAGAUGAGUUCUCCCUGAGACUUUAAGUCUCCUGAAGGAACGUUAAAGACGAUGACGUUGAUAGGCCGGGUGUGUAAGCGCAGCGAUGCGUUGAGCUAACCGGUACUAAUGAACCGUGAGGCUUAACCUUACAACGCCGAAG
RNAcentral lists this ribosomal RNA (2923 nucleotides) under Klebsiella pneumoniae. RNAcentral's name for it is "bacterial LSU rRNA". It matches the Rfam family "Bacterial large subunit ribosomal RNA". Lineage: Bacteria; Pseudomonadati; Pseudomonadota; Gammaproteobacteria; Enterobacterales; Enterobacteriaceae. The record is from RNAcentral.